Molecule: ribosomal RNA, 877 nt
Filed under: uncultured archaeon
Lineage: Archaea
Description: bacterial SSU rRNA
Rfam family: Archaeal small subunit ribosomal RNA
Source: RNAcentral
GGUUACUGCUAUCGGGGUCCGACUAAGCCAUGCGAGUUGAGAGGGGUAAGCCCUCGGCAUACUGCUCAGUAACACGCGGAUAACCUGCCCUUGGGUCCGGGAUAACCCCGGGAAACUGGGACUAAUACCGGAUAGAUCAGAGAAACUGGAAUGUUCUCUGGUUCAAAACUCCGGUGCCCAAGGAUGGGUCUGCGGCCUAUCGGGUAGUAGUGGGUGUAACGUACCUACUAGCCAGCGACGGGUAAGGGUUGUGAGAGCAAGAUCCCUGAGAUGGAUUCUGAGACAUGAAUCCAGGCCCUACGGGGUGCAGCAGGCGCGAAAACUUUACACUGCGGGAAACCGCGAUAAGGGGACCCCGAGUGCCAGCACCUAGUGCUGGCUGUCCUACUGUCUAAAUAACAGUGGUUAGCAAGGGCCGGGCAAGACCGGUGCCAGCCGCCGCGGUAACACCGGCGGCCCGAGUGGUAACCGUUUUUAUCGGGUUUAAAGGGUCCGUAGCCGGCUUACUGAGUCUCUUGGGAAAUCUGGCGGCUCAAUCGUCAGGCGGCCAAGAGAUACUGGUAGGCUUGGGACCGGGAGAGGUGGGAGGUACUCCAGGGGUAGGGGUGAAAUCUCGUAAUCCUUGGGGGACCACCGAUGGCGAAGGCAUCCCACCAGAACGGGUCCGACGGUGAGGGACGAAAGCUGGGGGCACGAACCGGAUUAGAUACCCGGGUAGUCCCAGCUGUAAACGAUGCUCGCUAGGUGUCAGGUGCGGUGCGACCGCAUCUGGUGCCGCAGUGAAAACUUGAAGCGAGUCACCUGGGAAGUACGGUCGCAAGGCUGAAACUUAAAGGAAUUGGCGGGGGAGCACUACAGCGGGUGGAGCCUGCGGUUC